RNAcentral lists this transfer RNA (68 nucleotides) under Nacella magellanica. RNAcentral describes it as "tRNA-Asp". The record is from RNAcentral. Lineage: Eukaryota; Metazoa; Mollusca; Gastropoda; Nacellidae.
AAAAAUUUAGUUAAAAUAUAAUAUGGGUUUGUCGUACCUAAGUUACUAAAUUUUAUUAGUAUUUUUUG